Molecule: ribosomal RNA, 506 nt
Filed under: uncultured bacterium
Lineage: Bacteria
Description: partial 16S ribosomal RNA
Rfam family: Bacterial small subunit ribosomal RNA
Source: RNAcentral
GAUGAGCGCUAGCUACAGGCUUAACACAUGCAAGUCGAGGGGUAAUGAGAGGGAAGCUUGCUUUCCUUGUCGACGACCGGCGCACGGGUGAGUAACGCGUAUCCAACCUGCCCCCAACUAGGGAAUAACCUUGCGAAAGUAAGACUAAUACCCUAUAAUUUCCUCAGAUGUCAUCUGACGAGGAAUAAAGAUUUAUCGUUUGUGGAUGGGGAUGCGUCUGAUUAGCUUGUUGGCGGGGUAACGGCCCACCAAGGCAACGAUCAGUAGGGGUUCGAAUAGCAAGGUCCCCCACAUUGGAACUGAGACACGGUCCAAACUCCUACGGGAGGCAGCAGUGAGGAAUAUUGGUCAAUGGGCGGAAGCUUGAACCAGCCAAGUAGCGUGCAGGAUGACGGCCCUAUGGGUUGUAAACUGCUUUUAUACAGGAAUAAAGUUAGCCACGUGUGGUUAUUUGUAGGUACUGUAUGAAUAAGGACCGGCUAAUUCCGUGCCAGCCGCCGCGGUAA